RNAcentral lists this transfer RNA (81 nucleotides) under Candidatus Yanofskyibacteriota bacterium. RNAcentral describes it as "Candidatus Yanofskybacteria bacterium tRNA-Leu". It matches the Rfam family "tRNA". From Rfam's summary of the family: Transfer RNA (tRNA) molecules are approximately 80 nucleotides in length. The record is from RNAcentral. Lineage: Bacteria; Candidatus Yanofskyibacteriota.
GCCCGGGUGGUGGAAUGGCAUACACGAACGACUCAAAAUCGUUUGCCGCAAGGCUUGUGGGUUCAAGUCCCACCCCGGGCA